CGCGUAGGUGGUUUUGUAAGUCGGAUGUGAAAGCCCCGGGCUCAACCUGGGAAUUGCAUUCGAUACUGCAAGGCUAGAGUACAGUAGAGGAGAGUAGAAUUCCCGGUGUAGCGGUGAAAUGCGUAGAUAUCGGGAGGAAUACCAGUGGCGAAGGCGGCUCUCUGGACUGAUACUGACACUGAGGUGCGAAAGCGUGGGUAGCAAACA
Molecule: ribosomal RNA, 207 nt
Filed under: uncultured bacterium
Lineage: Bacteria
Description: partial 16S ribosomal RNA
Rfam family: Bacterial small subunit ribosomal RNA
Source: RNAcentral